Molecule: long non-coding RNA, 817 nt
Organism: Hipposideros armiger (great roundleaf bat)
Lineage: Eukaryota; Metazoa; Chordata; Mammalia; Chiroptera; Hipposideridae
Exons: 3
Source: RefSeq, a predicted model, not a curated record
GGACCCGCAACUCUGAGCCUCACCGUGCGCCAGCAUCCCGCGGGCCCUGAAGGCGCCCUGGCCUGCCCGGGGAGACCCCAGCCUAGGCUGAAGCCCGACGCGGGGGUCGAGGGAGGUUGUAGGUGACUUAGAUAAACCCUCCAAGAUUUAACUUCGUCGGAAACCAUCAGCAGAGCGGGUGGAGGAGAAGGCGAAGAUGCGGCCAGUGCGCAGCGAGUUUCCCUGGCAAGGCAAGUCAGUGAUGGCUCCGAACCGAUUAGGAUGCCAUCUAGACAGCCUUGGGUGAAACCGACCAGAGCUGCGAGCCGGCCACCCACUUCCCCCAGCUGCAGAGGUCGCGGCUGCAACUGUCUGAGCAACCUAAUCCUUACAAAAGGAAGGUCGGAAGGACAAAAACAAACAAAAAAGGAAACCGAAAUGUACAAAUUCAGAAAUAUCUUUUGCGCGGCCUCGGUUGUCCAGCCCCAGAGGCAGUCCGCGGGCCUCAGGAAGAGACGACACCGCAGCUUAGGAGGCUGGGCCGGCGAAGACAAGUGCACGUGUGUAUGGGCGCACAGGGGAGGGUGGCGGCUCCAGGGGCCGCCCUCCGCAGUCUUCUUGAAGUAGCCUCUUAAAUGAGCCUAAUUUCGAUCCCACUGCCCGCCAGGGCUGGCUCUUCGGCUCCCUCAGCGCUGCUGCUCGCAGCCUUUCACCCUCCCCCGGCCAAGACUUGUCCUGAUGCGUCCGUUCCCCGGUGUCUCAUUGGAACCUCCCUGGGGGAAAGGGUGGGGGAAGAACAACUCCCAGCCGCCAGUUCCAUUUGUUGCGCUUUUUUCCU